AGUGGCGGACGGGUGAGUAACGCGUAAGAAUCUAACUUCAGGACGGGGACAACAGUUGGAAACGACUGCUAAUACCCGAUGUGCCGCAAGGUGAAACCUAAUUGGCCUGAAGAAGAGCUUGCGUCUGAUUAGCUAGUUGGUGGGGUAAGAGCCUACCAAGGCGACGAUCAGUAGCUGGUCUGAGAGGAUGAGCAGCCACACUGGGACUGAGACACGGCCCAGACUCCUACGGGAGGCAGCAGUGGGGAAUUUUCCGCAAUGGGCGAAAGCCUGACGGAGCAACGCCGCGUGAGGGAGGAAGGUCUUUGGAUUGUAAACCUCUUUUCUCAAGGAAGAAGUUCUGACGGUACUUGAGGAAUCAGCCUCGGCUAACUCCGUGCCAGCAGCCGCGGUAAUACGGGGGAGGCAAGCGUUAUCCGGAAUUAUUGGGCGUAAAGCGUCCGCAGGUGGUCGGCCAAGUCUGCUGUCAAAUCAGGUUGCUUAACGACCUAAAGGCGGUGGAAACUGGCAGACUAGAGAGCAGUAGGGGUAGCAGGAAUUCCCAGUGUAGCGGUGAAAUGCGUAGAGAUUGGGAAGAACAUCGGUGGCGAAAGCGUGCUACUGGGCUGUAUCUGACACUCAGGGACGAAAGCUAGGGGAGCGAAAGGGAUUAGAUACCCCUGUAGUCCUAGCCGUAAACGAUGGAUACUAGGCGUGGCUU
RNAcentral lists this ribosomal RNA (700 nucleotides) under uncultured bacterium. Its description in RNAcentral is "bacterial SSU rRNA". It matches the Rfam family "Bacterial small subunit ribosomal RNA", at positions 94 to 828 of the family's 1533-position model. The record is from RNAcentral.